Molecule: RNA transcript, 2214 nt
Organism: Solanum tuberosum (potato)
Lineage: Eukaryota; Viridiplantae; Streptophyta; Magnoliopsida; Solanales; Solanaceae
Gene name: pentatricopeptide repeat-containing protein At2g20710, mitochondrial-like
Exons: 3
Source: RefSeq, a predicted model, not a curated record
UCUUCGUCUUCUCCAAAAUGAAACAGCUUUCUUUCUCUGCCUUACGGAAACAAAAUCCAAUACAUUUUCAGAGAACCAUAAUCAACCGUUUCUAUGGAACAACAUCUACUAAACAAGAUAAAAAUCAGAAGCGUGACUGGGUUUUCGCAAGAAUUGCACCUUUAGGUAGCCCAGACGUGUCUAUGGUUCCAGUACUGGAACAAUGGGUUGAAGAAGGAAAAACAGUGGUGAAAUCCGAGCUUCAGUGGAUUAUCAAAAGAUUAAACAGCUACAAAAGAUACAAACAUGCCCUUGAGGUGUCUCAUUGGAUGACGGACAGAAGAUAUUACCCCCUCCAACCUGCUGAUGUUGCAGCACGAAUCAACCUAAUGAAUAAAGUUAAAGGUCUAGAAGAGGUUGAAAAAUACUUCAAUAGCAUUCCACAGAUGCUGAGACGCCCUGAGGUGUAUACUGCUCUUCUCAAUUGCUAUACCAAUGAGAAGUCUGUAGAGAAAGCUGAGGCCAUAAUGCAACAACUAAGAGAUAUGGGGUUUGCUAAGGGUACAUUGUGCUACAACCAUAUGAUGAACCUCUAUUAUAAAACAGGAACAUGGGAGAAAAUGGAUAAUAUGAUGAAUGAAAUGGAGCAGAAGGGCGUAAAUUUUGAUGAGUUCACGCUCACAAUACGAUUAACUGCAUAUGCUGCUGCUGGAGAUUCUGAGGGAAUGGAUAAAAUAUUAGCGAUAAUGGAAUCUGAUAAGCAAAUCAUUUUGCACUGGGAUACUUACAGUAUUGCAGCAGAGUUGUAUUUGAAAGUUGGGCAGGUGGAAAAAGCUCUAGAGUUGCUGAGUAAACUUGAAAGCAUGAUUUUGAAUCAUGAGAAAAGUAAUGGUGCAUAUAAUUGUUUGUUAAAACUGUAUGCGGAAGCUGGAAAGAAAGAAGAGGUGCACCGAGUGUGGGAUUUGUAUAAGCAGAACAUGAGAAUUCUUAAUAAAGGUUACAUUACUGUGAUGAGCGCAUUAAUGAAAUUUGGUGAUACAACAGAAGGAGUUGAGAAGAUCUUUGAGGAAUGGGAAUCCGAAGCUUUGUCCUAUGAUUUCCGUGUUCCAGAUGUUUUGAUUCGCAGUUAUUGUAGAAAUGGUCUUCUGGAGAAGGCUAAGGCCCUAAUGGACAAAGGAAUAUCAAAAGGGGGUGUUCCAUGGGUCACCACAUGGUGUCACUUGGCAAAUGGAUACAUACAUGAAGAUCUAGUCCCAGAGGCUGUAGAAGCAUUGAAGAAGGCCAUCUCAAUAUGCCCGCCUAAUUAUAAACCUAGCAAGGAGACCUUAGCUACAUGUGUAAAAUACUGGGAAAAGCAGGGAAAUGUGGAUAACGCAGCGGAUUUUGUGAGGUGUUUAGAACAGGACCAUAUCUUCUCACCAGUUUUUCGUGACAAGUUGUUGUGCUUUAUUAAGGAAGAAAAACUUCAAACCUAAGCGACACAGCUUGUAUUGAAUCAACUGAUUUGAGCGCCUCUCACAAGGUUAGGCCUUUCCAACUAAAGCUUUAUAUAUGUACUGAAGCUAUCAGGCCUAGGUAUGGAGCAAUUAAAGAGAAAAAUUAUCGGACAAAGAUUAUUUUUCUUUGCAUUUCAGAAUUGAAAAUAGCUGAUAUUUCUCAUUGAAACUUAGGCUGCAUAUUCACUGGCGAUAAGUAAUUUACUGCAAGAUUACUCCUUAGGAGAGACUAGUUGCUUUACUCUUAACAUAUAUUGUGUCAAUGAGCUUUGUUUUGAAGGCCAAAAUUCAAAUUAAUGUGUAUCAUCUCUGUUUUGGUGACGAAGACAAUACAAGAAGAUGAGCCAAAAGCAAAGUUAUUCUUCACGUGGCUUUUAAGAUACAGAAGAAAGAUUAUAUUUUGAAUCAAAGAUGGAAAAUUCAUUCCAACAAGAAGUUAGGAUAUUUUUUGUGGUUGGCAAAACUAUGACAUGCAACUAACCAUUUGAGUGCUUUGAAAACUUAGGUGUAAGAUUAUUAAUCACAUUAUUAAGUGCAAAGUUGAUUAAAAUAUCUUAUAAUGGGUGGGACGUGAACUUAAAUUAUCAAUUAUGUUGGAUGUGACAAUUCUAAUUAAGAAUGUUAAAAAGAUAUUUGAUCAAUGCUAUGAUUUUUUUUUUCUAGAAGGUCACCGCCCUAGGGUCUAAUUUACUUUGUAUUAUAAAAUAUUAGGACCCCAAUUAUUGUGGACUUUUUGCUA